Molecule: ribosomal RNA, 301 nt
Filed under: uncultured bacterium
Lineage: Bacteria
Description: partial 16S ribosomal RNA
Rfam family: Bacterial small subunit ribosomal RNA
Source: RNAcentral
CAGUCGCCACGGUAAAACAGAGGGUGCGAGCGUUAAUCGGAUUUACUGGGCGUAAAGCGUGCGUAGGCGGCUUCUUAAGUCGGAUGUGAAAUCCCUGAGCUUAACUUAGGAAUUGCAUUCGAUACUUGGAAGCUAGAGUAUGGUAGAGGAUGGUAGAAUUCCAGGUGUAGCGGUGAAAUGCGUAGAGAUCUGGAGGAAUACCGAUGGCGAAGGCAGCCAUCUGGCCUAAUACUGACGCUGAGGUACGAAAGCAUGGGGAGCAAACAGGAUUAGAUACCCCUGUAGUCCCUGUCUCUUAUAC